CAAUAGUGUAUAUUAAAGCUGCUGCGCUUAAAAAGCUCGUAGUUGGAUCUCGGGCUUCAGGCUGGCGGUCCGCCUCGCGGCGGUUUACUGCCUGCCCUGGCCCCCUGUACGGCAAGUCCCUUGGUGCUCUUGACUGAGUGUCUUGGGCGGCCGGACGUUUACUUUGAAGAAAUUAGAGUGCUCAAAGCAGGCCUUUGUCGCCUGGAUACUGGUGCAUGGAAUAAUGGAAUAAGACCUCGGUUCUAUUUUGUUGGUUUUCGGAGCACGAGGUAAUGAUUAAUAGGGACUGCCGGGGGCAUUCGUAUUGCGGCGCGAGAGGUGAAAUUCUGGGACCGUCGCAAGACGAACUACAGCGAAAGCAUUUGCCAAGAAUGUUUUCAUUAAUCAAGAACGAAAGUCAGAGGUU
This 406-nucleotide ribosomal RNA is filed under the name Mollusca sp. MM01034. RNAcentral's name for it is "SSU rRNA". It matches the Rfam family "Eukaryotic small subunit ribosomal RNA", at positions 592 to 998 of the family's 1831-position model. The record is from RNAcentral. Lineage: Eukaryota; Metazoa; Mollusca.